AUAGAGAAAAGUGUUUAUAGAAGAAAGUUUAGGGACUCCUGUCUGUUAUAGGUAUAGCUGCAUAGCAUACUUGAAUUAGCAGUAGUUGUCAUCUUUCCUGGGCUUCUGUUCAAUUAUACGUAGCUUCCACUUCCCAACUUGUCUGAGUUAUAGCCAAGGCCGGAUGGCUUAAUUUAUGCAACCAAACAAGAAUGCAAAUACGGAUAGGCGUGAUCACAUGCAAGUUAAUUUAUCAUCAACUGCUUAGAUUAACUGAUAUAAGGUAUUGAGGUUCUUCAAGUCACUCCCAGUGCUUAAUCAUUAUGAGUUGGAGUACUUGAUAUGUAUAGUUGUUUUUAAGUAGAUAUGUAUAAUUGUGUUAAGUACUUAAAGAAUUUUUUUUAUAAUUCAUAAUGAUCUUACUCCAAUCAAAUUAUCUCUCAGUAGAGGAUAUUGAUAAUAGUAAUUGUUGAUUGUUCAAUUGUCUUAAUUUAUAUAUAGUGGAUAUAUGGGUUUUAAUU
Glycine soja is the source of this 500-nucleotide long non-coding RNA. RefSeq lists it as uncharacterized. Lineage: Eukaryota; Viridiplantae; Streptophyta; Magnoliopsida; Fabales; Fabaceae. The transcript has 2 exons. The record is from RefSeq and is a predicted model, not a curated record.